UUAUUUUUUUUUAUAUAUGUUAGUAUUGCAUACUAUGUUAGGAUCAUUUUAACUUUUUAAACUAUAAAAAUAAAGUGUCUAAAGUCUAGUUUGUUUUUUUGUUACAAAAUUAAUUUUACUAUACUUAGGGUUGAAACAUCGAACUUUAUUAUAUUUGUUUUUUUUGUAUAUAUUAGAAAAUUAUAUGUUUUUGUUUUUUUUUUUGGAUUGUAAUAAUUUGAAGUUUUUUUGUUUCAAGUUUUAUAACUUUAUCCUCUUUUUUUUUAUUUUUUUUUUUUAAUUAUAAAUCUUUAUAAUUUUUAUUAUCUAGCAAUUAGUAAAUUUAUAAAUUUAGUUUUUUAUUUUAAUAUAAAUUGAUUACUAAUUAUCUGAUCAAAUGUUUAUUAAAGACUUAUGAUUUAUAUUAAAUCUCUCUUCUGCCCUAUGAAUUUUUAAAUGGCAGUCUUAGCGUGAGGACAUUAAGGUAGCGAAAUAAUUUGUGCUUUUAAUGGGUUCCUGUAUGAAUGAAGGUUUGGUUGGUGAUAUUCUUUUUUUUUAUUGAACUUAAUAUACAUCUAAGAAAAGAUGUUUAUAAUAAUACAAAGAUAAGUCUUCGGAAAUUUUUUUUUUAUGUUUUUUUUUUUUUCAUAAAAAUUUGUCUAGGGAAGAUUAUUAUAUAAUUUUUUUUUCCUAUUUUUAUAUUAAGAAAUUACUUCGGAGUUAACAGAAAAUCAUACUUUAUAUAGUUCUUAUAUUUUAGUAAGUUUUACAUCGAUGUUGUAUCUCCAUUUGCUUGGGAAGAAUAAGAUCAAGUAAUUUAGACUGUUCUUCUAUAAAUAAAUGGGACGUGAUAUUAGUUUAAUUCAUCGUGAGAUAGAAUUGUUUAUCUUGAUUAUUAUUUUUAUUUAUUUAGAAUAGUACGAAAGGAACUUCGUUAAAGUUUUAAAUUUUUUUAUAUU
RNAcentral lists this ribosomal RNA (938 nucleotides) under Strongyloides sp. EN-2020c. RNAcentral's name for it is "16S ribosomal RNA". Lineage: Eukaryota; Metazoa; Nematoda; Chromadorea; Rhabditida; Strongyloididae. The record is from RNAcentral.